CGGCCCUCGCGGGGGUGCAUUGUAGUUGCAUUGCAUGUGUCAGACUGGGAGUGCAAUGCCCCUGCCAUGCAGCCCGGCGGGGGUCCC
This is a microRNA precursor of Gallus gallus (chicken), 87 nucleotides long. Ensembl annotates it as gga-mir-33-2. Its record names the gene gga-mir-33-2. NCBI's taxonomy places the organism in Eukaryota, Metazoa, Chordata, Aves, Galliformes, Phasianidae. The record is from Ensembl.